GCGUCAGGGCCGCCGGCCUCUCCUUGGCUGUUGGAGAGCCAUAGAAUACCUGUUUCAGAGCUGAAGGGGACCUGAGCCCAUGAUAAUCCAUUACCUCGUGAGAAAGCGGAAAAACUGACUUCAGCUUGCCCAGAUGGCGCAGAGAAUGGGUUUCCCGUAACCCCGCCUGUGUCUUUCCUUCAGCCUCGUCCCAAAUGCCGUGGGAGGGAAGGCACUCUCUGUCAAGCUGCUGUCACCUUACCUGAAGUAAGGAGUCCACGCCUGCAUGUCCGAGGAAAACAGUUUUCUCAAACACAUUAGUUGAAAAACUGAAGACGCUGCCUAAAAUACAAGCUGAGUUAGAGACAGCCCUUGUAAGACUAGGCCUUCAGGGGAGUCUAGAACUAUGCCACUGACUCUCCUGGUCUCCAGUUUUUCAACUUCAAAUCUUGGGAUUUAGUCUCGAUGAUCAUAAAAAGAAAUGGAAACUAAGUAACAUGAAUUAACAUAGUCCAGGGUCACAAAGCAACAUGGAACAAGAACCUGGAUCUGAAUUCAGAGGCAGAAUGCUGGGCCUGAGAAUCAGGAGAGUCAAUGGUAUUAGUGCUUGUCCGGAAGCCAUCAUGCUUCAAAACCAAGAAGAGCUGAUUUUCCAGUUGGAGUCUAAAG
RNAcentral lists this long non-coding RNA (648 nucleotides) under Homo sapiens (human). Its description in RNAcentral is "INTS6 antisense RNA 1". The record is from RNAcentral. Lineage: Eukaryota; Metazoa; Chordata; Mammalia; Primates; Hominidae.